Molecule: ribosomal RNA, 513 nt
Filed under: uncultured delta proteobacterium
Lineage: Bacteria; Deltaproteobacteria
Description: bacterial SSU rRNA
Rfam family: Bacterial small subunit ribosomal RNA
Source: RNAcentral
GAGUUUGAUCGUGGCUCAGAACGAACGUUAGCGGCGCGCCUAACACAUGCAAGUCGCACGAGAAAGGGCUUCGGCCCCGGUACAGUGGCGCACGGGUGAGUAACACGUGGGUAAUCUUCCCUUGGGCGGGGGAUAACCUUCCGAAAGGAGGGCUAAUACCGCAUAAGACCACGGACUCGAGAGAGCCUGCGGUCAAAGCAGGCCUCUUCAUGAAAGCUUGCACCUAAGGAUGAGCCCGCGGCCCAUCAGCUAGUUGGUAGGGUAAUGGCCUACCAAGGCGAAGACGGGUAGCUGGUCUGAGAGGAUGAUCAGCCACACUGGAACUGAGACACGGUCCAGACUCCUACGGGAGGCAGCAGUGGGGAAUCUUGCGCAAUGGGCGAAAGCCUGACGCAGCGACGCCGCGUGAGUGAUGAAGGCCCUCGGGUUGUAAAGCUCUGUGGGGAGAGACGAAUAAGGCGUGGCUAAUAUCCACGUUGAUGACGGUAUCUCCUUAGCAAGCACCGGCUAACU